Long non-coding RNA from Ailuropoda melanoleuca (giant panda), 524 nucleotides. RefSeq lists it as uncharacterized. The record is from RefSeq and is a predicted model, not a curated record. Lineage: Eukaryota; Metazoa; Chordata; Mammalia; Carnivora; Ursidae. The transcript has 3 exons.
CCAAAGGGGUUGGGUUCUCGUUUCCGUGGCGAGCCUGAUCGCGGGGCUUUUGAAAUCGGAAGCUCUAGCCCAUCUUCUCUCCUGACCAGCCCUUCUCUUUUGCUGAGAUCUGUCCACGAAAGGAAGGAUUCAUAGCUACAGCUUCACCCGCCUCUCUCCGGUUCUGGGUGCAACCGGCCUUUGGAUGAACAUUACAUUUCAGAACCACAUUGUGGGAGUAAGGAGCCGGCAACUGAAGCAUAAGCGUUGCAUAGUAUUAAAUGAACAGACGGUUGAUUCCGCUGUCGAUGGCGCUGUUGUUCUUGUUGAGCGAUGACGGCGGGCUCGAGUUCUGCUUGAGCGCGGCAUCUUCUUCCAGGUCGGUGUCGUCAAUGAGGGGGAUGUGGGGCUGUGAAUCUUCGAUCCGGAAUUCGGGGUGAGCCAUGAAAUUAUGGAUGGAGGUUCGAGACUCAGGCUUUUCUAGACCUUCAUAGAGAGAGCUACGGAACGCCUUCACGACGCGAAUCUGCAAGGGAAGCACAGGG